This 1017-nucleotide ribosomal RNA is filed under the name uncultured organism. Its description in RNAcentral is "bacterial SSU rRNA". It matches the Rfam family "Bacterial small subunit ribosomal RNA", at positions 356 to 1376 of the family's 1533-position model. The record is from RNAcentral.
GAGGAAUAUUGGUCAAUGGACGAGAGUCUGAACCAGCCAAGUAGCGUGAAGGAUGACUGCCCUAUGGGUUGUAAACUUCUUUUAUACGGGAAUAAAGUUAGCCACGUGUGGCUUUUUGUAUGUACCGUAUGAAUAAGGAUCGGCUAAUUCCGUGCCAGCAGCCGCGGUAAUACGGAGGAUCCGAGCGUUAUCCGGAUUUAUUGGGUUUAAAGGGAGCGUAGGCGGGUUGUUAAGUCAGUUGUGAAAGUUUGCGGCUCAACCGUAAAAUUGCAGUUGAUACUGGCGACCUUGAGUGCAACAGAGGUAGGCGGAAUUCGUGGUGUAGCGGUGAAAUGCUUAGAUAUCACGAAGAACUCCGAUUGCGAAGGCAGCUUACUGGAUUGUAACUGACGCUGAUGCUCGAAAGUGUGGGUAUCAAACAGGAUUAGAUACCCUGGUAGUCCACACAGUAAACGAUGAAUACUCGCUGUUGGCGAUAUACGGUCAGCGGCCAAGCGAAAGCAUUAAGUAUUCCACCUGGGGAGUACGCCGGCAACGGUGAAACUCAAAGGAAUUGACGGGGGCCCGCACAAGCGGAGGAACAUGUGGUUUAAUUCGAUGAUACGCGAGGAACCUUACCCGGGCUUAAAUUGCAACUGACUGAACCGGAAACGGUUCUUUCUUCGGACAGUUGUGAAGGUGCUGCAUGGUUGUCGUCAGCUCGUGCCGUGAGGUGUCGGCUUAAGUGCCAUAACGAGCGCAACCCUUAUCGAUAGUUACUAGCAGGUCAUGCUGAGGACUCUAUUGAGACUGCCGUCGUAAGAUGUGAGGAAGGUGGGGAUGACGUCAAAUCAGCACGGCCCUUACGUCCGGGGCUACACACGUGUUACAAUGGGGGGUACAGAAGGCAGCUACACGGCGACGUGGUGCUAAUCCCGAAAGCCUCUCUCAGUUCGGAUUGGAGUCUGCAACCCGACUCCAUGAAGCUGGAUUCGCUAGUAAUCGCGCAUCAGCCACGGCGCGGUGAAUACGUUCCCG